AGUGAACGCUGGCGGUAGGCCUAACACAUGCAAGUCGAACGGCAGCACAGUAAGAGCUUGCUCUUACGGGUGGCGAGUGGCGGACGGGUGAGGAAUACAUCGGAAUCUACUUUUUCGUGGGGGAUAACGUAGGGAAAAUUACGCUAAUACCGCAUACGACCUACGGGUGAAAGCAGGGGAUCUUCGGACCUUGCGCGAUUGAAUGAGCCGAUGUCGGAGUAGCUAGUUGGCGGGGUAAAGGCCCACCAAGGCGACGAUCCGUAGCUGGUCUGAGAGGAUGAUCAGCCACACUGGAACUGAGACACGGUCCAGACUCCUACGGGAGGCAGCAGUGGGGAAUAUUGGACAAUGGGCGCAAGCCUGAUCCAGCCAUACCGCGUGGGUGAAGAAGGCCUUCGGGUUGUAAAGCCCUUUUGUUGGGAAAGAAAAGCAGCAGGUUAAUACCCCGCUGUUCUGACGGUACCCAAAGAAUAAGCACCGGCUAACUUCGU
This 491-nucleotide ribosomal RNA is filed under the name uncultured bacterium. RNAcentral's name for it is "partial 16S ribosomal RNA". It matches the Rfam family "Bacterial small subunit ribosomal RNA", at positions 29 to 506 of the family's 1533-position model. The record is from RNAcentral.